RNAcentral lists this transfer RNA (83 nucleotides) under Candidatus Neoehrlichia procyonis str. RAC413. RNAcentral describes it as "Candidatus Neoehrlichia lotoris str. RAC413 tRNA". It matches the Rfam family "tRNA". From Rfam's summary of the family: Transfer RNA (tRNA) molecules are approximately 80 nucleotides in length. Their secondary structure includes four short double-helical elements and three loops (D, anti-codon, and T loops). Lineage: Bacteria; Pseudomonadati; Pseudomonadota; Alphaproteobacteria; Rickettsiales; Anaplasmataceae. The record is from Rfam by way of RNAcentral.
GCCCUUGUGGCGAAAUGGUAGACGCGGUAGACUCAAAAUCUAUUAUCUGCAAAGAUAUGCUGGUUCAAGUCCGGCCAGGGGCA